CACUGGAAAUUUAAUUGUGAAAUCCAGACGGAACUGAUCCUCGCAGACCCUCCAGUGCGAUGCUUGCUUAGAGCCUGCCUGCAGCACACAUGGAUCCAGAUUUGUGCCUCUUCUCUCCCCACUUCCUUACACCAUGUCAUCAUUACCUAGAAAACAAACAGAACAAGAAGGGGAAAAACAAUGUAGAACAUCCCAAAGACAUCGCAAAGGCUGUCUGCUGAAAGUGAAACGGAGAUUGGAUUCAUGAAGUGGAUUAAACCAAUAAAUGUUAUUGCUUCUUUGGAGGCUACAAGAUCUCUAGAUGAAGAAGGAAGCUGCAUUAUUAAAAUCCAAAUUCUGGAUAUUGCAUCUGAGACAAUUAUCUCACAGAAAUUUAUCCGAGGAACCGAUUUGCAAUUAAAAACUCUGAGGAGAACAAAAACCUGUGUGAAAGACACGGUAAGAAAUAAAGCUCUCUUUUCAAUGAUGAGGGUUAGUUCAUCACUGAGUGUUAAGUAAUGACUGAGUGUUAAGUAAUUGCUGUUACUUAACACUCUCAAGGUUAAGUAAUUAGUUGGGCACCCUUUGGCACUGGGGGUAGAGGGGUUGGGGGAGUCCCUAAAUGUUUCUACAAGUUUUUUGUGGUACUCCAAGCUGUUAAUUGCUCCAGUUGCCACCAUCUUCCAUCCCAAGGAGACACUCUUACAUGCAGAGUACCUUUCCCUUCUAUGAUAU
Long non-coding RNA from Oxyura jamaicensis (ruddy duck), 714 nucleotides. RefSeq lists it as uncharacterized. Lineage: Eukaryota; Metazoa; Chordata; Aves; Anseriformes; Anatidae. The transcript has 2 exons. The record is from RefSeq and is a predicted model, not a curated record.